UACAUGUUGGCCUAUGGCUCUGCUGAGGCUUCACUGAGAUUAUUGUGGAAAUUUGGUCUUCUGGAUAUACUUCUACCAAUUCAGGCAGCAUAUUUCGUCCGUCAUGGUUUUAGAAGACGUGAUAAGAGGUCUCACUUGCUUUUGUCUUUAUUUUCCAACCUCGAUAAAUUAGUGGCCCCCGAUAGGCCAUGCCACAGUAGCUUAUGGGUCACAAUUUUGGCUUUCCAUAAAGCACUCUCGGAUCAACCGAGGGACCCUUUGGUGGUUGCUGCUUUUAGCCUAGGUGUUCAUAAUGGAGGUGAUUUGUCAGAAGCUUUAAGUAUAGCCAGACGGAUUUCUGCACAACAUGAUGGAAGCUUUCAUGAGUUGGAGUCACGGGACCUGGACUUGGCAGCUUUAAAAGAGGAAGUAGUGGAACUGGCAACUUCAGUUCAAAGGGCACUGACUAAUAUGACAGAUGAGUAUAGCGUCUCACGGGCAAUGGCCAACUACCCUAAAGCACCUUACUCAGACCUAGUAUUUAUUCCAUUAGCACUGUAUUUAAAGGCGUGCAAGGUUUGCCAAUGCGUUAGAAUGGGAAGGGAGAAGGGAUUUGUAGCCAAGCAAGGUAGCAAGAUCGACUAUGAGUUGUUAGCUUCAGGUAGCCUACAGGAAGUCCGACAUGUCUUUGCCAGGAUAGUCUUCGAUACCAUAUAUCCAUUGAACACUGGCAAGGAUGAUACCUAAAUUUUGUUAGUGCUGUAGUCACGUGUAUUUUCCAAUAGAAUGUAGUAG
RNAcentral lists this unclassified non-coding RNA (774 nucleotides) under Hevea brasiliensis (rubber tree). Lineage: Eukaryota; Viridiplantae; Streptophyta; Magnoliopsida; Malpighiales; Euphorbiaceae. The record is from RNAcentral.